AGAAUCAACGCUGGCGGCGUGCCUAACACAUGCAAGUCGAACGCGAAAGUGGAGCAAUCCAUGAGUAGAGUGGCAAACGGGUGAGUAACGCGUGGGUGAUUUGCCUCAGGGUGGGGGAUAACCUUCCGAAAGGGGGACUAAUACCGCAUGACAUAGCGCUCUUAGAUGAGCGUAUAUCAAAGCUGGAACCGCAAGGUCUGGCGCCUGGAGAGAAGCCCGCGUCCGAUUAGCUAGUUGGUGAGGUAAUGGCUCACCAAGGCGACGAUC
This 267-nucleotide ribosomal RNA is filed under the name uncultured soil bacterium. RNAcentral's name for it is "partial 16S ribosomal RNA". It matches the Rfam family "Bacterial small subunit ribosomal RNA", at positions 26 to 281 of the family's 1533-position model. The record is from RNAcentral.